Molecule: ribosomal RNA, 412 nt
Filed under: Salmonella enterica subsp. enterica serovar Indiana
Lineage: Bacteria; Pseudomonadati; Pseudomonadota; Gammaproteobacteria; Enterobacterales; Enterobacteriaceae
Description: partial 23S ribosomal RNA
Rfam family: Bacterial large subunit ribosomal RNA
Source: RNAcentral
AUAAGCGCCGGUAAGGUGAUAUGAACCGUUAUAACCGGCGAUACCCGAAUGGGGAAACCCAGUGUGAUUCGUCACACUAUCAUUAACUGAAUCCAUAGGUUAAUGAGGCGAACCGGGGGAACUGAAACAUCUAAGUACCCCGAGGAAAAGAAAUCAACCGAGAUUCCCCCAGUAGCGGCGAGCGAACGGGGAGGAGCCCAGAGCCUGAAUCAGCAUGUGUGUUAGUGGAAGCGUCUGGAAAGGCGCGCGAUACAGGGUGACAGCCCCGUACACAAAAGCGCAUGUGCUGUGAGCUCGAUGAGUAGGGCGGGACACGUGGUAUCCUGUCUGAAUAUGGGGGGACCAUCCUCCAAGGCUAAAUACUCCUGACUGACCGAUAGUGAACCAGUACCGUGAGGGAAAGGCGAAAAGA